This 279-nucleotide ribosomal RNA is filed under the name uncultured bacterium. RNAcentral describes it as "partial 16S ribosomal RNA". It matches the Rfam family "Bacterial small subunit ribosomal RNA", at positions 506 to 784 of the family's 1533-position model. The record is from RNAcentral.
UGCCAGCAGCCGCGGUAAUACGGAGGGUGCAAGCGUUAUUCGGAAUCACUGGGCGUAAAGGGUGCGUAGGCGGUUUGGAAAGUCUGAUGUGAAAGCCUACAGCUUAACUGUAGAACUGCAUUGGAAACUUCCAGACUAGAAUACUGAAGGGGCAGAUGGAAUUAGUGGUGUAGGGGUAAAAUCCGUAGAUAUCACUAGGAAUACCGAAAGCGAAAGCGAUCUGCUGGGAAGUUAUUGACGCUGAGGCACGAAAGCGUGGGGAGCAAACGGGAUUAGAUA